This 471-nucleotide ribosomal RNA is filed under the name uncultured Pseudomonas sp. RNAcentral describes it as "bacterial SSU rRNA". It matches the Rfam family "Bacterial small subunit ribosomal RNA", at positions 910 to 1382 of the family's 1533-position model. Lineage: Bacteria; Pseudomonadati; Pseudomonadota; Gammaproteobacteria; Pseudomonadales; Pseudomonadaceae. The record is from RNAcentral.
UUGACGGGGCCCGCACAAGCGGUGGAGCAUGUGGUUAAUUCGAAGCAACGCGAAGAACCUUACCAGGCCUUGACAUGCAGAGAACUUUCCAGAGAUGGAUUGGUGCCUUCGGGAACUCUGACACAGGUGCUGCAUGGCUGUCGUCAGCUCGUGUCGUGAGAUGUUGGGCUAAGUCCCGUAACGAGCGCAACCCUUGUCCUUAGUUACCAGCACGUCAAGGUGGGCACUCUAAGGAGACUGCCGGUGACAAACCGGAGGAAGGUGGGGAUGACGUCAAGUCACCAUGGCCCUUACGGCCUGGGCUACACACGUGCUACAAUGGUCGGUACAAAGGGUUGCCAAGCCGCGAGGUGGAGCUAAUCCCAUAAAACCGAUCGUAGUCCGGAUCGCAGUCUGCAACUCGACUGCGUGAAGUCGGAAUCGCUAGUAAUCGUGAAUCAGAAUGUCACGGUGAAUACGUUCCCGGGCCUU